UACAGAGGUCUCAAGCGUUGUUCGGAUUCAUUGGGCGUAAAGGGUGCGUAGGCGGCGCGGUAAGUCGGGUGUGAAAUCUUGGAGCUUAACUCCGAAACUGCAUUCGAUACUGCCGUGCUUGAGGACUGGAGAGGAGACUGGAAUUUACGGUGUAGCGGUGAAAUGCGUAGAUAUCAAGUGGAACACCAGUGGCGAAGGCGAGUCCCUGGACAACUCCUGACACUGAGGCACGAAAGCUAGGGGAGCAAACAGG
RNAcentral lists this ribosomal RNA (253 nucleotides) under uncultured bacterium. RNAcentral describes it as "partial 16S ribosomal RNA". It matches the Rfam family "Bacterial small subunit ribosomal RNA", at positions 524 to 776 of the family's 1533-position model. The record is from RNAcentral.